AGCCAAAAACCACAAAAAACUGCAUCGCUAUCAACAAACUAUCGUUUCAGAGAACAGUUCGAGAUGCCUGAAAAAUGGUCCCGAAAAAACACGCAGAUGAUUCAUAAUUCCUGCUUCUAAAGGAUGAGGAGCAAAUUUGGUUACGGCUCUCACAUAUUCCAUCACGACCAACUGAGCUAGUAGGCCAGAGAAAAUCAUUAUGACAGGAAUCCAAAACAACCGAUUACCAAGCUUCUGGAUAUUUUCCCAACCGGUCAUGAAAGUGCGUGUAGUCGGUUGUGCUCGAAGACAUCUUGCCCCAUCUGAAGUCAAAGGAACCCUCAGAUCCUUCUCACCGGACUCGACCGGGCUAAUCCAACACUCCAGGCCAGCAUGAAGGGCUUCCCCAGGACAUGGGAAGACGUUAAGUGACUG
Uranotaenia lowii is the source of this 414-nucleotide long non-coding RNA. RefSeq lists it as uncharacterized. Lineage: Eukaryota; Metazoa; Arthropoda; Insecta; Diptera; Culicidae. The record is from RefSeq and is a predicted model, not a curated record. The transcript is spliced from 3 exons.